Phyllostomus discolor (pale spear-nosed bat) is the source of this 1504-nucleotide long non-coding RNA. RefSeq lists it as uncharacterized. The transcript is spliced from 4 exons. Lineage: Eukaryota; Metazoa; Chordata; Mammalia; Chiroptera; Phyllostomidae. The record is from RefSeq and is a predicted model, not a curated record.
UUUUUGUUUUCUUUUUGGGAUGUUUACUCAACUUUUUCUUUCAAUUUUCCUGCUUAGAAUUGUAUUUCAUGAUGCUUCAAAAAUUGUUUUUUAGCUUUUGAUUGUAGUUUCACCUCACACCACACUGAUGAUUAUUGCUAUUUAUAAAUAAAGUUCACCAAUCUUUUUAUGAUAUUAGAGUUUUAUAUUUUCAUCAUUUGCCAAAGAGCUUCCAGGAUAAUUUCUUCUGCUUAUUUGCCAUAGUGUCUCUUUUUAAUGUUGAAUACAGUCCUCAAAUGCCUAGUGAUUUCCUGAACAUCUACUUACAUGUAAGGAUAAAUUACCAAUAAGUAGAUGAUUUGGAACCAGAACCAGGAUACUCAAAACAUAUUGUACUUGCUCAAAUUUCUCUGAAAAUGAUGUCUCCUAGAUAUAAAACUACAAAUGUGGUCUGAAGAAAUUGAAGCUGUGGCAAAGAAACCUUCUAUCUUCUAGGAGAAUUUUCAACUUGUUUAUGGAAACACAGGAUGCUACUAAAAGAUAUGCAACAUUAAAAUUAAGAAAUGAAGGAGAAAAACUGAGAAACUGAUAUGGAAUCCGAGAAACAAGGAAGACAACACAAGAGAGGAAUGAAGAGAAUUUACAGGAUGAUUGUGGACAAUUGUACAUUAGACUUGAAGAACAGGCUUGCCCUGCCUCAUCCCUGAUAGUACAGUUUUGGAAUCCGGACACACCAGGAAUUGAACAGCACUGUGCUAAGUGUCAAAACUAAGCCAUUAUAUGACCUGUUGCCUACUAAACAUUUCUACUGAAAAAUUACAACCUUGCCACAGAGGAAAAGCAAUGUGUCCACCUAUGCCAGCCUCCUGAGCGAGAGCCGAGAGCCCCAGGACAGGGGCUUUCUCAAUGGGGCCACAGCUGCAGCUGCAGCAGAAACUCUGAGGGGUCUGGAGAGGGGUGCUGAGUGAAGUGGGCACUGGGGUGUUGACAGUGACCAUAGACUUCUUCCUUCAACUUUUUGCACUUGUUGCUUUUUGUACAUAAUCAUAGUGUUAGAUAGAACAAAGGUCUUAAGGUCUCCGAAGUUCUUACUAAAUGUUAUCUUGCUAAAUGUUAAAAUGUAGCACAGUAUUUUGCAGGUAGAACUGUAAACAGGAUGAACGGGUAAGGAACUCAAAGGAUAAAUGUAGCCAAUUGCAAAGAAGAAAUCAACAUGUAAUUGACCAAAUAAAUAAGCAAUGGCCAAGCCUCCCUUCCAGGAAACAGAGCUUUGGAUAUGAAUCCCCUGUCUCCUUUACUUGUGGCAAGUAAAUAAAACUACCUUGUUGAUGACCUGCAACAACCAUGGCUUGUCUCAUUCUGGAACAGAGCACCCCAAGCAGAAAACCUCUUGAGUUCCAUAACAAUAGCAUUUACCACUUAGAGGUAUGUCUGCUGACUCCUUGCUGGACAGGGGUCUCAAAGCUAAAGGUUGUGCCUAUUUGGGUAUCUCCAGUGCCUACAUGGUGCUUAAUACUUAAUAAAU